RNAcentral lists this long non-coding RNA (821 nucleotides) under Homo sapiens (human). Its description in RNAcentral is "HSALNT0047909". The record is from RNAcentral. Lineage: Eukaryota; Metazoa; Chordata; Mammalia; Primates; Hominidae.
CUGGAUGCCAAUCACGAUCUCCCAUGGCCUGUGGCUUGCAGUGCUCCUCAAUCUAUCUGAAGACACAGGCUGACAGCUCCUAGAAGUUGGUCACAGAGAUGAAGACAUUGAAGGACUGGAACAGGGAGUUCGUGAUACCUCGAAACACACUGACCUUGACUUGGUCAGAGGCCUGGUCCUCCCCUCAUGGGGGUUGUCCUGGUGUGCCUUCACAAUCUGCUUAUAGUUCCCUUUCAUGAUCUUUAGGGCUGUGAGGUCCUUGCAUAGUGUGGACACCUCCUCCUCCUGCAUUUUCUUCUCCUUGUGCAAAAACUGAGUGUAGUCAAUGGUCUUUUGUAGAACGAUGGCUUUGCUGAGCUUUCGGGAGCCAAUGCAGGAGUCCUGCUGCUGGCAUGUGGGGAUGAUGGUCUGAAGGUCAUCACAGCCUCUCUUGAUGACAUCCUUCCUCUUCUGCUCAGCCUCAGUGUGUGCUCACCACUACUGGUCCUUGUAGGACUCUUGGUGGUAAUCACUGUCCUCCUCAUCUGUGUUGGGGAUGGAAGAGGCACUGGUGGAACCGAUGCUAUUAGCUCUAGACACUACUGUCCCAUUGUGGGUGCUUUCUAUAAAAUACGUGAGGUCUGAGCUUUUGUAGCUGUAGAUGUACUCCACCUUUACCCAGGGGUCUUUGGGAGAGGCACCUGGCUCCAUCGUCUUGGACCUACUGGACCAGAAACAAGCCCUAUUUUAUUUUCUACCUGCCGAAAAGAACUAUACAUUUUGCUAACACCUCCAGGUGAUGAUGGUUGAUCAAAUAUUGUAAAUAAACAUAAAUAUAUUCA